UCUCUUACUUCCAAUCGGUGAAAUUGACCUUCCCGUGAAGAGGCGGGAAUAUAACAAUAAGACGAGAAGACCCUAUGGAGCUUUAAUUAACUAACCCAAUAGAAUUUAUUCAAUUAACCAAUAUGGGACAAAGUAAUUCUACAGUGGGACAGCAAUUUAGGUUGGGGCGACCUCGGAGUAUAGCACAACCCCCGAGUGAUAUAAAUCUAGACAUACCUGUCAAAACGAACUAUCAUAAAUUGAUCCAAAAAUUUUUGAUCAACGGAACAAGUUACCCUAGGGAUAACAGCGCAAUCCUAUUCAAGAGUUCAUAUCGACAAUAGGGUUUACGACCUCGAUGUUGGAUCAGGACAUCCCAAUGGUGCAGCAGCUAUUAAAGGUUCGUUUGUUCAACGAUUAAAGUCCUACGUGAUCUGAGUUCAGACCGGAGUAAUCCAGGUCGGUUUCUAUCUAUUAACCAGUCUCUCCCAGUACGAAAGGACAAGAGAGACAAGGCCCACUUCGACGAAGCGCCUUAGGACUAAUAUAUGACAUAAUCUUAAUAUAACCAGUUCAACUACACUAUUCAACCCGAGAACAGGGUUU
RNAcentral lists this ribosomal RNA (585 nucleotides) under Odobenus rosmarus rosmarus (Atlantic walrus). Its description in RNAcentral is "partial 16S ribosomal RNA". It matches the Rfam family "Bacterial large subunit ribosomal RNA", at positions 2019 to 2853 of the family's 2925-position model. Lineage: Eukaryota; Metazoa; Chordata; Mammalia; Carnivora; Odobenidae. The record is from RNAcentral.